This 253-nucleotide ribosomal RNA is filed under the name uncultured bacterium. Its description in RNAcentral is "partial 16S ribosomal RNA". It matches the Rfam family "Bacterial small subunit ribosomal RNA", at positions 524 to 776 of the family's 1533-position model. The record is from RNAcentral.
UACAGAGGUCUCAAGCGUUGUUCGGAUUCAUUGGGCGUAAAGGGUGCGUAGGCGGUGCCGUAAGUCGGGUGUGAAAUCUCAGGGCUCAACCCUGAAACUGCAUUCGAUACUGCGGUGCUCGAGGACUGGAGAGGAGACUGGAAUUCACGGUGUAGCAGUGAAAUGCGUAGAUAUCGUGAGGAAGACCAGUGGCGAAGGCGAGUCUCUGGACAGUUCCUGACGCUGAGGCACGAAGGCCAGGGGAGCAAACGGG